AGGAAGAAGUGGAAAGAGCCGAUGCGGACGAGUCGUCGUUCUCCUCGGGACACAUGGGUCCGAUCUCGAGGCUGUUCAUCCUGGAGAGGCCGGAGGUGAGGUUGUCGGAACUCUUCCAGAUCGGAUCCUUCUCGCCGGACUCGGCCAGAACGAACCUCUUGAUGCGCUUCAUACCGAGCGCAGCGUCGACGAUCCAGCUCAUCAAUUCGAUUAUUACAAAGUGUUUCUCCUGCUCCUCAUUGCUCUCGGACGUUCCAAAUGCCGGAGCAGUUUCACCUGUCCGCUACGUGUUGUAAGACUGAGACCACACGGCAGGGAAAAAGAGAGCUGUCUUAUUCAAGAGGAGUCGCGCCCCCCCCCCCCUCUCUCUCACCGCAUACACAGCGCCAUACGGCUGUCAGCUCUCGUGCCGCCGCCGCCGUCGCAGGACACACACGCGCAUAGAGGCCACGCACACACAGGGAUAAACAAUGCAAAUCCGAAGAAGAAUAAGAAGAAGAAGAAGAUGCGCGCGCGUGUGUGUAAAGUGCUAGUCAUCUACCUGAGGCGUCUGCGCCGCUCGGCUAGGCCAUUGGGCAAACUCUGCUGUCCCUGUUGGCUGGUCUGAUGCUGGAGCUUGUCCCCGGGGAAACUGUCCCCCGUCUCGGCCAGCUCCUCACCGCCGGCGUCAUCCUCCGUCUCGCCCAGGACAAAACUCACCGGUUCUGCCAUCGUCUUUUCACUCGCCGACGAUGAUGAUGAUGAUGACGACAAUUUAUCGACCUCCUUGGCUGUUUCCUCGACUGUGCUCCUCGUCGACGCCGCUUCUUCCUUAACGUUACCUUCAAGUGCAAAAUUCGACUCUAUACGUGCGCACUCGAACUUUUUUUUUUUUUUUUUUUUUUUUUUUUGUUUCUCGAAGAGAGAUGAGGAUGUGUGUGAUUCUCAACGCACCGCAUGCCCCAGGAAUAUGCGUGUGUAUGGACUGCACUUGGUUUUCUGCGUUUUCGUCAUGCACAAAUUUUUCGCGGCGGCAACCUGUUGAGUCGCGUCAUGGAUGUUCGAAGGAUCGAUUUGUAUGUGUGUGUGUGUGUGCGUGUGUAUUAAGGAGAGUCAGCAGGGAAAACGAUCGCUAC
Nasonia vitripennis (jewel wasp) is the source of this 1115-nucleotide long non-coding RNA. RefSeq lists it as uncharacterized. NCBI's taxonomy places the organism in Eukaryota, Metazoa, Arthropoda, Insecta, Hymenoptera, Pteromalidae. The transcript is spliced from 2 exons. The record is from RefSeq and is a predicted model, not a curated record.